CUCAAACUCAGAGAUCCACUUGCC
This 24-nucleotide non-coding RNA is filed under the name Rattus norvegicus (Norway rat). The record is from RNAcentral. Lineage: Eukaryota; Metazoa; Chordata; Mammalia; Rodentia; Muridae.